Molecule: long non-coding RNA, 1310 nt
Organism: Oncorhynchus keta (chum salmon)
Lineage: Eukaryota; Metazoa; Chordata; Actinopteri; Salmoniformes; Salmonidae
Exons: 3
Source: RefSeq, a predicted model, not a curated record
GCGUCAGACUAGGAGACGUACGCUGACCAAUCACGCGUCAGACUAGGAGACGUACGCUGACCAAUCACGCGUCAGACUAGGAGACGUACGCUGACCAAUCACACGUCAGACUAGGAGACGUACGCUGACCAAUCACGCGUCAGACUAGGAGACGUACGCUGACCAAUCACGUGUCAGACUAGGAGACGUACGCUGACCAAUCACGUGUCAGACUAGGAGACGUACGCUGACCAAUCACGCGUCAGACUAGGAGACGUACGCUGACCAAUCACACGUCAGACUAGGAGACGUACGCUGACCAAUCACGCGUCAGACUAGGAGACGUACGCUGACCAAUCACGCGUCAGACUAGGAGACGUACGCUGACCAAUCACGUGUCAGACUAGGAGACGUACGCUGACCAAUCACACGUCAGACUAGGAGACGUACGCUGACCAAUCACGCGUCAGACUAGGAGACGUACGCUGACCAAUCACGCGUCAGACUAGGAGACGUACGCUGACCAAUCACGUGUCAGAAUAGGAGACUGGUUGAAUAGGAAACUGGUUGAUCACCAGUUUGGGAUGGUAUAGACUGCUCUUAAUGCUGCAGUCUGUAAUUUAGCUCGUCCCCCUUGUGGUCACAAACGAUCAACACUCAAAACUAAACAUAUUAAGCCAAUCGGGAUGUAUAGACUCCUGAAGAACCUCUGUUUACAAACAAUGGUUGGUUUCAGAGUGUCAGUAGGGAGCAGGACUAACAGAGUGUUCUACUGCCACAGACAGACUGGUGUUCUCCAGCCCUUAUAACGGACGGUUAUUACACUUCAUAGACGGGUCAUAGAGGUGUCAUAGACGGGUCAUAGAGGUGUCAUAGACAGGUCAUAGAGGUGUCAUAGACAGGUCAUAGAGGUGUCAUAGACUGUUCAUAGACCGUUCAUAGACAGAUCAUAGACAGACCAUAGAGGUGUCAUAGACUGUUCAUAGACAGAUCAUAGACAGGUCAUAGAGAGGUUAUAGACAGAUCAUAGACAGGUCAUAGAGGUGUCAUAGACUGUUCAUAGACAGGUCAUAGAGGUUAUAGACAGAUCAUAGACAGGUCAUAGAGGUGUCAUAGACUGUUCAUAGACAGGUCAUAGAGGUGUCAUAGACUGUUCAUAGACAGGUCAUAGAGAGGUUAUAGACAGAUCAUAGACAGGUCAUAGAGGUGUCAUAGACUGUUCAUAGACAGGUCAUAGAGAGGUCAUAGACAGAUCAUAGAUAGGUUAUAGAAAGGUCAUAGAGGUGUCAUAGACAGGUCAUAGACAGAUCAUAGACAGGUCAUAGAUAGGU